This 508-nucleotide ribosomal RNA is filed under the name Anelosimus jabaquara. Its description in RNAcentral is "partial 16S ribosomal RNA". The stretch from base 105 to 404 matches the Rfam family "Bacterial large subunit ribosomal RNA", at positions 2074 to 2646 of the family's 2925-position model. Lineage: Eukaryota; Metazoa; Arthropoda; Arachnida; Araneae; Theridiidae. The record is from RNAcentral.
UUUGUUUUUUAAUUAAAAACUAGAAUGAAAGGUUAUACAUUCAAAUUUCUUUAUUAAUUUUUUAUAAAUAAUUUAUAUUAAAUAUAAAAAUAUAUUUUUAAAUAAAAAAGACGACAAGACCCUAUUAAAUUUAACUUAUAGUUUAGCUGGGGAAGCUUUUUAAAUAAAAUUUUUAUAAAAUUUUUAAAAAUAUAUUUAAUAAAAUUAAAAUUAAAAUAAAUUACUAUAGGGAUAACAGCGUUAUAUUUUUUAAAAGUUCUUAUUUAAAAAAAUAAUUGCGACCUCGAUGUUGAAUUAUAUUUUCUAUAUUAAUGCAAUAAUUAUAAAAGUAGAUCUGUUCGAUCUUUAAAAUAUUACAUGAUUUGAGUUCAAACCGGUGUAAACCAGGUUGGUUUCUAUCUUUUAUAUAUAUUUAUAUAUUUUUUAAGUACGAAAGGAAAAAAAAAUUUUUAUUUUUAAUUAUUUAGCAAAUUAAUAUGCAUUAGACUUAGAAUCUAAAUAAAAUAUU